This 858-nucleotide ribosomal RNA is filed under the name Mycobacterium tuberculosis MTB-476. Its description in RNAcentral is "bacterial SSU rRNA". It matches the Rfam family "Bacterial small subunit ribosomal RNA", at positions 8 to 865 of the family's 1533-position model. Lineage: Bacteria; Bacillati; Actinomycetota; Actinomycetes; Mycobacteriales; Mycobacteriaceae. The record is from RNAcentral.
AGAGUUUGAUCCUGGCUCAGGACGAACGCUGGCGGCGUGCUUAACACAUGCAAGUCGAACGGAAAGGUCUCUUCGGAGAUACUCGAGUGGCGAACGGGUGAGUAACACGUGGGUGAUCUGCCCUGCACUUCGGGAUAAGCCUGGGAAACUGGGUCUAAUACCGGAUAGGACCACGGGAUGCAUGUCUUGUGGUGGAAAGCGCUUUAGCGGUGUGGGAUGAGCCCGCGGCCUAUCAGCUUGUUGGUGGGGUGACGGCCUACCAAGGCGACGACGGGUAGCCGGCCUGAGAGGGUGUCCGGCCACACUGGGACUGAGAUACGGCCCAGACUCCUACGGGAGGCAGCAGUGGGGAAUAUUGCACAAUGGGCGCAAGCCUGAUGCAGCGACGCCGCGUGGGGGAUGACGGCCUUCGGGUUGUAAACCUCUUUCACCAUCGACGAAGGUCCGGGUUCUCUCGGAUUGACGGUAGGUGGAGAAGAAGCACCGGCCAACUACGUGCCAGCAGCCGCGGUAAUACGUAGGGUGCGAGCGUUGUCCGGAAUUACUGGGCGUAAAGAGCUCGUAGGUGGUUUGUCGCGUUGUUCGUGAAAUCUCACGGCUUAACUGUGAGCGUGCGGGCGAUACGGGCAGACUAGAGUACUGCAGGGGAGACUGGAAUUCCUGGUGUAGCGGUGGAAUGCGCAGAUAUCAGGAGGAACACCGGUGGCGAAGGCGGGUCUCUGGGCAGUAACUGACGCUGAGGAGCGAAAGCGUGGGGAGCGAACAGGAUUAGAUACCCUGGUAGUCCACGCCGUAAACGGUGGGUACUAGGUGUGGGUUUCCUUCCUUGGGAUCCGUGCCGUAGCUAACGCAUUAAGU